AUGAUACCAACCCGAAAACCGGGCGACAAAAAGACAACACAUAAAUACAAAUUUACACCGUUCUUUCUAGCUUUACAACUUCAAAAUUUCCCACAUUCUCAGUGAAAAUUUCUUGAAAACAUUCAUUUCCCUCUCACUUUUGGUUUCCCUCCCCUUCUAAAAUUUCUCCCCGACUCGUUUUCCCUCUUCUAAAAUUAUAAUUUGUCUUUCAUUGUUGCGUCGUUUUUUUUUCUCUAGAACCCUAGGUUGCAGGUCAUUAAGCUCGUCUCGUCUUUUGUGACUCGUCUUCUUCGCUGUCAGCGAUGGCUAGUGGUGCUGGCGGCAAGGUCUCUUUCAAGGUUAUCGCACCUCUGAUCCCAAGCUGCCAAUCAAAGUACUUAGCCCUCCAGAAGGAGCUCCUUUAGUGUUGCUCUUAAAUUUGUUGCUGAAUAAUUCAAAGUUCCUCAACAAACUAGUGCUGCAUUCACCAACGGUUAUUGCACUCGAAGGGGAACUUAAAGCUAACGACGGUAGAUCGAGACAAAUCUACAGGGAAUAUGAAAGAAUGUCAAUGUUCAUGAGCACAAAGUUUAUGGAUUUUGAGGGCAUAAUAUCCGAACAUGCAAGUGAAAUGAUGACCUGAUCGAGGAUGU
RNAcentral lists this long non-coding RNA (632 nucleotides) under Helianthus annuus (common sunflower). Lineage: Eukaryota; Viridiplantae; Streptophyta; Magnoliopsida; Asterales; Asteraceae. The record is from RNAcentral.